CCUACGGGUGGCUGCAGUGGGGAAUAUUGGACAAUGGGGGCAACCCUGAUCCAGCCAUGCCGCGUGUGUGAAGAAGGCCCUCGGGUUGUAAAGCACUUUCAGUGAGGAAGAACGCCUGGUGGUUAAUACCCAUCAGGAAAGACAUCACUCACAGAAGAAGCACCGGCUAACUCCGUGCCAGCAGCCGCGGUAAUACGGAGGGUGCGAGCGUUAAUCGGAAUUACUGGGCGUAAAGCGCGCGUAGGUGGCUUGAUAAGCCGGUUGUGAAAGCCCCGGGCUCAACCUGGGAACGGCAUCCGGAACUGUCAAGCUAGAGUGCAGGAGAGGAAGGUAGAAUUCCCGGUGUAGCGGUGAAAUGCGUAGAGAUCGGGAGGAAUACCGGUGGCGAAGGCGGCCUUCUGGACUGACACUGACACUGAGGUGCGAAAGCGUGGGUAGCAAACAGGAUUAGAUACCCUUGUAGUC
This 465-nucleotide ribosomal RNA is filed under the name Vreelandella stevensii. RNAcentral describes it as "partial 16S ribosomal RNA". It matches the Rfam family "Bacterial small subunit ribosomal RNA", at positions 338 to 795 of the family's 1533-position model. Lineage: Bacteria; Pseudomonadati; Pseudomonadota; Gammaproteobacteria; Oceanospirillales; Halomonadaceae. The record is from RNAcentral.